Cricetulus griseus (Chinese hamster) is the source of this 4968-nucleotide non-coding RNA. NCBI's taxonomy places the organism in Eukaryota, Metazoa, Chordata, Mammalia, Rodentia, Cricetidae. The record is from RefSeq and is a predicted model, not a curated record.
CCUCCGGGGCCCCUCGGUGGCUUCCGGGGAGACGGAGCCAAAGUGUUGUUGCUUUGAGUAGUUGCGAGCGACCCCGGGUCUCAGGGAGGGCUUCAUUGCCGACUGAAGAAACCCAGCGACCUCGGCCUCCGGCUUACCCAGCUCUCCUGCCCGAGGGGCAAAGCCCCCUCCUCUUUUCUUUAGUUUGCACGGGAUGCGCUUUGACUCCGUGAACAGUCUCAUUGUGGUGGUGCCAGCCUUUAAAGCCCGCACCCAGGAGGCAGAGGCAGGAGAAUCUCUGAGCUCGAGCCCAGGCUGGUCUACACAUGGAAAGGCCGUAUUUUGAGGAAUACAUGUAAUGUGUUAAGGAGGCCACUGGAAAAGCCAGACACCCAGGGAAGAGCUCAGGGCUGACAGCCUGAGAGCUGGUCAUUCUGGGAAACCAGAGGCCUUGGCAGUCCCCAUCUGGCAUCUAAAACCUGGAAGGCUCCAGGAGAGUUCUGGAUCUUCAGCCCACCUUGGAAGCCUAAAGAAGCUGGAGUCUGAUGCCACCAGGGGUUGGAGGCAGCAGCAGGAGAGAGAUGCACUUAAGAGGUGAAGGCUGCAGGCUGGCCACACUGCAUAUACCAUGGAGGUCAGCACUGGGAUGCACUGCCCACACGGGAAGAGUCUCCCUGCCUCAGAGACAGACAGGACUUUCAGACCCUGAAUUGAACCCAGCACUCUGUGCACGCAAGAUGAGCAGUCUGCCAACUGAGCUCUAUAUCUGCAGUCCUACUGAAGCCUUUCUGGGCUGGUGAAGUGGCCAGCGGGUAAGAGUACUUUGUCUGCAAGCUUGAGGACUUGACUUGAAUCCCCAGCACAGACUUGGAAAUCCCAGAAUGGUUGGAUGUACCUGGAACCCAGCCUUGAGGUCAGAGACAGACGGAUUCCAAGAGCUCCUUGGCCAGUCAGCAUAGCUUAAAUGGUCCUCCAGCGUUCCUGUCAGACCCUCAUGUCCCCGUCUCCUCCUGUCUUGAACUUUUAACUCCAGAGCCUCUGAGGCCACUUAAGUGUCACACCCCUUGCUGGAGUUAAUGCUAGCGUUGAGAAGAUCCCAGCUCUUGGGUCCCCAAGUGUCUUGGAGGUGAGGAGCCAUGCUGUGCCCCUUCUCCACAAGCCUGUUGCCAGGCUCCUGUCCGACCUCAAGUGACACAUGUGAGUACAACUGAUAAAGAUUCCAUCUGAGGUUUUAAUCUGGAUCCCUGUAUUGAAAUGUAGCUGGUGCCUACCCAGGUCUUUCUUUUAUUAAAAAAAAAAAUGUUGUUGAGUCAAAGCCUUGCUGUGUAACUCAGGCUGGCCCCAAGAUCACAAUGCUCCUGACUCCCCCUUGUAACUGCCGGGCUCGCAGAUGUGCAGUAUCAUCCUGGUUAGUGAGGCUGCCAUGAAAUAAAAACUUCAGUUCAUUUUCCUUGCCAGGAGCAACGAACUGUGUUUAUUCUCCAACUCUAGAAUAAUCUUCAGCUGAUAAAGAGCAAGCACCCCCUUCACACAGGAAGACGAAGUGGAGUCUAACACCUGGUGGUUGGUGUUGGUUGACACUCUCCAAGGACUCUCUAGUCUGUUCAGUUUUUCCUCACCACGACUAUCUCGAGGCAUGACCCACAGAGAGCACUGUUCCCAUUUUACAGAUGGGGAGAUGGAGGCAAUGACAAACUCAUUGCCUCAUCCAUUCUCAUGCCAUCUUCCAGGGACUGAGGUGGUAACACGGAGCCAUCGCAUGUGCCCAUGUACCGUUUCUCCAUCCAGGGCCACUGCUGUUAGAACACAGAAUUCCUGUGGGCCUGGAUCAAGCGUGGCAUGUGCUCAACUCCAGUCUUCACUUACUUCCCGGGAAGGCUUGUGUGGCGUAUAGCUUGCAACUUGUGUAGCUUUGCUCUGUCUUUCGCUGAUCUCCUGCCGUACCUGGGCAUAAAGGGUUAAAGGAGUUGACAGAACGCUGUGCGGUGGUGGAGGAAAGCCUAGAUACUUGGUGCGGAGUGUGCAAUGAGUCAGGACAGACACGUCUUCAUGCUCAGUCUCCCUGCACUGUUGCCUCGGGGUUGACUCAGGGCUCCCACAACGGUACCUUCAGAGCAGAGUGAGAGGUUUCUAGAUUGUCACAGCUCUCUCCCUCCGGACUGUGUCCUUUCCCUGAGUGUUACGGCCUAUUGGCUGGGACAAUUCAUAAUCCUUUUGCAGUCUUGUGGCACCGACUACAUACCUACAGAUGGGUGUGUGCUUGUUGGGGCCCAGUAUGGGGCCAUCCCGCACUGAGGGGGGCGGUUUAAAGGAGAGGCACAUGGUGAUGGCGGCCGCAGUAGGAUUCUAUUUCGUCUCACUGGGAUUUUCAAGUCAACCUUGGCCUUCUGAUGGGGACAUUUUAUGUCGGCAUGGCUACAGACUGCUUCUUUCUUUCAGUCAGACUGAGGGACAUUGUUAGUAAGGAGUUAAAGACGAUGUCUGGGGUAGAAUGGGAAGUGCCGGGCCUGACCGUUAUCUGUCAGUGGUGGAGAGCAAUCUUUGCUGUCUCUAGAAUCUUCCAGAGCACCAGGUUUAUUAGGCUGGGCCUGUCAGAAUAAUAGGUUCCUGAUUAAUCUACAGAGGUUGCUGAUAACCUGGCCUGGUCUAGACAGGGUGUGAGCCGGGGAGUGGCUCCUUAGAUAAGCCACCCAGAGCUGCUCCUAGGUCGUUUGGGACAUUAUCUGUUGUUUUUAUAACACAACUGUGUAAACAGAGCGACCCAGCCUCGGGAAGGAGACCCUUUGCUCCCGCAGCCUCCCUGUCCCCUUCCUGCCAGUUUUUGCCCUUCUUGGGUGGCUUAAGGAUUAUGUCCAGAUACUUUAAUCCCCCAAACAAACAUGAUCCAUCACUUGCAUUUCUCCACUUUGACUUAAUUAAAAAAAAUCUGCCUGUCUUUAAUUAUUCUGGAUGUGUAUUGUCUGUCUAGAGGGAGGUGAAUGGACAGGUGGGAACCCUAUCCCAGGGGCCAAGCAGGAAGUGUGACCCACUGUGCCCUGGCUUCUGAAUUCUCACACACAGCACUUUUACUGCAUGGACGGUUGACUCACUGAUCAAUGGGUCCUGGCAGCUAUAAAAAUUUUAUGGCUGUCUGUGACAGCCUCUAGAGGAGUCUAGGUAUACAGGGCUGUAAGAGGAGGAGUUUUACUCAUGGGGGAGGGAGGGGCAACUCCCAGAAGGGCAGAUCAAAACCAGGUGAAGGAUUCGGUUACACGGGGACUUCAUUAUGUGGCAGGGGACAGUGAGGUGCCUGAUGUUCAGCGUUCCCAGGCUAAGAGUGUUUAUUUAUUCUCAGUUGUCGCAACAAUUCUAAGGAUAAUGUGACUAGUGUUCCUUUGGGGACCGUGAUGGGAAAGGUCAGGGGCUUGCCUGCCACCUUCUAAUUCUCCUGCUCUCUAUCAGUGUCUGAGAAAUCAGCCCUUGCAGUCUGGUCGGUUGACACAUGAUAUGUGAGGCUGAUAGCCCCCAUAGAACAGAAAGUCCAGAUUGUGCAUUAAUUUCUUUUCUGACUGACCCCUAUGAACUUUUGAGGUGUGUUACUUAUUUUUUGCUCUGAACUAAAAACAAAACAAGCAAAACAAAACAAAACAAAAACCAAAGAAAAAUUACAACAACUUUGUAAUCUUAGGUUUCAGUGUGCUGAUACAACCAGAAGACAGUCGUGUAAUCUUAGGUUUUAGUGUGCUGUUACAACCAGAAGAGAGACAGUAGUGACUGCAGAAUGGUGGCGUGAAGGGGUGAAAGGCGUGUGCUCUCAAGGUAUACUGAGCAUUGCAUUAUGUCAGCCUGUUGCAUUUCCCCAUGGAAACCACACAGAGAGCUUAAUCACUGAGCCACAAAAGGCCUUCUGAAGUCAUGAGUUUCCAGUGGCCAGUUAGCAUUGCCAUAGCCACUAACACCUCCCUUUGUUUGUCUACCCAAAGGCUUAAAAAAAACCAAAACAACAACAACAACAAAACAAUCAAACAACAACAACAACAGCUCAGGAGCCUUGUGCUCUGAGGAGGCCUUCUCUUCGAUUCCAUGACACUUAAGAGUAGAAGAUGUAGAGAGGGAAGUGUCCUGCUUAGUAUUUGUUGUUGCCAUCUCUUGAGAUAGCUAUCCUACAAUCAUUAUGUAAUCCAGGCUGGUCCCCAUCUCUUGAUCCUCCUGUCUCAGGCUUUCAAGUCCUGGAAUUGCAGGUGUGAGCUACAGAGCCCAGCGCUGCACCUUCCGGAUCUUUCCACCAGGGUGCGUUUCUCUCACACCUGUGCGGUGUGAGUAGUUUUGGUUUAACAGGGACGAGGUGCUAUGGACUUGACCAGGCACCACAUUCAACAGGCAACACGAUGAACUUGUGCUGUGGAGUGUGGCUCAAGACUGUAAUUUGUAGUCAUGCCACCACACUGGUGGGUGGGGGUGUCAAGCCCUGUGGUUCCUCUUGGUGGCAUUCUCUUUGGGGACCCAGCCUGUGCCACACUAUUCCUGACUGGCAUGUACAGUUGUAUAAAUAGCAGGCCCCGUGUGUCCCAUGCUUUGGAGAGAGACAGCGGUGAAAAGAGUGAGUGUGCGGUGUACUGCUUGGCUCACAGGUUAUGAGGCUUUGCUCACCCAUUUCCUUGUUAUUCGAACUGUCUAGCACAAGGCCUGGCCGGCAGGAGGCACCUCAUCAGUACGUAAAUGCUGAGUGAGUGAAACAAACUACUACUUUUGGGAAAUGUGUGCCAACACUGUGGGAUUUUAAAAUAUUUACUGCAUAUUUAUUUACCUGUGUGUAGAUGCAUGACCCAAGGUGCAUGAACCAUGUCAGUCCAGGGAUUGAAUUUGGGUCACCAAGCUUGGCAGCAGAUACCUUUACCAGCUGAGACAUCUCACCAGCUGAAUAAUUUUUUUAAUGCACAAAAAAUUAUGUGAUGUAAUGCCAGGUACAAUUAAAAUAGUUUACCUUUAUCAGAACAUUUAAUCUUUGUC